AAACUGAAGAGUUUGAUCAUGGCUCAGAUUGAACGCUGGCGGUAUGCUUAACACAUGCAAGUCGAACGGUAACAGGCCUUCGGGCGCUGACGAGUGGCGGACGGGUGAGUAACGCGUAGGAAUCUGCCUCAUAGUGGGGGACAACGUGGGGAAACUCACGCUAAUACCGCAUACGCCCUACGGGGGAAAGCGGGGGAUCUUCGGACCUCGCGCUAUGAGAUGAGCCUGCGUUAGAUUAGCUAGUUGGUAGGGUAAAGGCCUACCAAGGCGACGAUCUAUAGCUGGUCUGAGAGGACGAUCAGCCACACUGGGACUGAGACACGGCCCAGACUCCUACGGGAGGCAGCAGCCGAGAAUAUUUGUCAAUGGGCGAAAGCCUGAACGAGCGACGCCGCGUGUGGGAUGAAGGUUUUCGGAUUGUAAACCACUUUUUAUGGGGAGAAAUCGCAAGAUGAUAGUACCCGUAGAAUAAGGGGUUCCCAACUCUGUGCCAGCAGGAGCGGUAAUACAGAGGCCCCAAGCAUUACCCGGAAUCACUGGGCGUAAAGGGUGUCUAGGCGGCCAUAUUAGUCUCUCGUUAAAUCUGUGGGCUCAACCUGCAGUCUGCGAGGGAAACGGUAUGGCUCGAGGGCGUGAGAGGUGCACGGAACUCAUGGUGGAGGGGUGAAAUCCGUUGAUAUCAAGAGGAACACCAAAGGCGAAGGCAGAUAAUUAGGUAAUUCAUGACGCUGAUAGACGACAGCUAGGGGAGCGAAAGGGAUUAGAGACCCCUGUAGUCCUAGCUGUAAACUAUGCCUGCUAGCUGGUCGGUCCGACGCAAGUCGGACUGGGUGGUGUAAGCUAACGCGUUAAGCAGGCCGCCUGGGGAGUACGAUCGCAAGAUUAAAACUCAAAGGAAUUGACGGGGACCCGCACAACCGGUGGAGCGUGUGGUUCAAUUCGAGACAAAGCGAAAGACCUCACCAGGUCUUGACAUGCUACCGUUUACUCGUUUGGAAACAGAUGGGGAUCCGCAAGGAUGGUAGCACAGCUGCUGCAUGGCAGCCGUCAGCUCGUGCCGUGGGGUGUUCCCUUAAGUGGGAGAACGAGCGCAACCCGCAUCCGAUGUUACAAGUGUCAUCGGAGACCGCCCACUCUCAAAGUCGAGGACUUUGAGAGAAUACUACCAAUAGACAAAUACUACCAAUUAUCCAAUAUCAAUUAAAAAAGGAUUCACUUUGAUUAUUGGUAGUAUUGGAUAAUUUGAUUAUUGGAUUAUUCUCUCAAAAGCGUCGUCGCUUUUGAGAGUGGGAGGAAGGAGCGGACGACGACAUGUCAGCACGGCGCUUAUGACCUGGGCCACACACACCCUACAAUGGCGAAUAACAAUGGGACGCGAGGUAGUAAUGCCAAGCAAAUCUCCAGUAAAUUUCGCCUCAGUUCAGAUUGAGGGCUGCAACCCGCCCUCAUGAAGUCGGAAUCGGUAGUAAUCGCAGAUCAGCAGACUGCGGUGAAUACGUUCUCGCUCCUUGUACAACUUAAAUAUGCGCCUUCCGCGCACAUUAUCUAAUUG
This 1552-nucleotide ribosomal RNA is filed under the name Methylobacter sp. RNAcentral describes it as "bacterial SSU rRNA". It matches the Rfam family "Bacterial small subunit ribosomal RNA". Lineage: Bacteria; Pseudomonadati; Pseudomonadota; Gammaproteobacteria; Methylococcales; Methylococcaceae. The record is from RNAcentral.